AGCUGGUUCUCCCCGAAAGCUAUUUAGGUAGCGCCUCGUGAAUUCAUCUCCGGGGGUAGAGCACUGUUUCGGCAAGGGGGUCAUCCCGACUUACCAACCCGAUGCAAACUGCGAAUACCGGAGAAUGUUAUCACGGGAGACACACGGCGGGUGCUAACGUCCGUCGUGAAGAGGGAAACAACCCAGACCGCCAGCUAAGGUCCCAAAGUCAUGGUUAAGUGGGAAACGAUGUGGGAAGGCCCAGACAGCCAGGAUGUUGGCUUAGAAGCAGCCAUCAUUUAAAGAAAGCGUAAUAGCUCACUGGUCGAGUCGGCCUGCGCGGAAGAUGUAACGGGGCUAAACCAUGCACCGAAGCUGCGGCAGCGACACUAUGUGUUGUUGGGUAGGGGAGCGUUCUGUAAGCCUGUGAAGGUGGCCUGUGAGGGUUGCUGGAGGUAUCAGAAGUGCGAAUGCUGACAUAAGUAACGAUAAAGCGGGUGAAAAGCCCGCUCGCCGGAAGACCAAGGGUUCCUGUCCAACGUUAAUCGGGGCAGGGUGAGUCGACCCCUAAGGCGAGGCCGAAAGGCGUAGUCGAUGGGAAACAGGUUAAUAUUCCUGUACUUGGUGUUACUGCGAAGGGGGGACGGAGAAGGCUAUGUUGGCCGGGCGACGGUUGUCCCGGUUUAAGCGUGUAGGC
Molecule: ribosomal RNA, 676 nt
Filed under: Ammoniphilus sp. CFH 90114
Lineage: Bacteria; Bacillati; Bacillota; Bacilli; Caryophanales; Paenibacillaceae
Description: Bacterial large subunit ribosomal RNA
Rfam family: Bacterial large subunit ribosomal RNA
Source: Rfam by way of RNAcentral